AUUGAACGCUGGCGGCAGGCCUAACACAUGCAAGUCGAGCGGAUGAAGGGAGCUUGCUCCUGGAUUCAGCGGCGGACGGGCGAGUAAUGCCUAGGAAUCUGCCUGGCAGUGGGGGAUAACGUCCGGACACGGGCGCUAAUACCGCAUACGUCCAGAGGGAGAAAGUGGGGGAUCUUCGGACCUCACGCUAUUAGAUGAGACUAGGUCGGAUUAGCUAGUUGGUGGGGUAAAGGCCUACCAAGGCGACGAUCCGUAACUGGUCUGAGAGGAUGAUCAGUCACACUGGAACUGAGACACGGUCCAGACUCCUACGGGAGGCAGCAGUGGGGAAUAUUGGACAAUGGGCGAAAGCCUGAUCCAGCCAUGCCGCGUGUGUGAAGAAGGUCUUCGGAUUGUAAAGCACUUUAAGUUGGGAAGAAGAGCAGUAAGUUAAUACCUUGCUGUUUUGACGUUACCAACAGAAUAAGCACCGGCUAACUUCGUG
Molecule: ribosomal RNA, 484 nt
Filed under: uncultured bacterium
Lineage: Bacteria
Description: partial 16S ribosomal RNA
Rfam family: Bacterial small subunit ribosomal RNA
Source: RNAcentral